CUUAUGAGCAUAACUAACAACAGCAACAUAUUUUAUAUAUAAUGAAUAAAUAUAAAAAUAAGUGUCACAGCGUAUUUGUUUAAACCAAACAAAUAAAAAAAAAUAACGUCCCUUUUACACGUGAUUAUAACAAUAACUGAUAAGACUGUACAUACAACAAUAGCAUUCACACAUACAGGAAAACUAGCAAGUUGUAGCGUCUGAGGUCAACAAAACGAUGUUAUUGAAAGAAUAUUAUUUACACAGCAGAGCCGGCUUUCUUCGGGUUGAGCGUCGAUAAGAAGCAUCAGAGGAAACGCUGCGGCAUUAUCCGGAUAAUCCCGACAACUUGGCCGACAGAGCCACGCCAACUCCUUUGUCAAAUACAGUUCUCGACAAACAACCGAUCAAAAACGAUACCAACGUGACAUAAAUAAAAGACGACUGCCGACUUACCCACAAUACCAACAACUGGAAAGGAUACGUUUUAUUUCAACGAGGAAGAGUGAUACAGCCACAAGCCUCGUAAAUAUUACAGCAGCGAUUGUACCGCGAGUCUCGUAAUCAUUACAGAAAAGUGUACGUACAUAAAAUUAACAUCCAAACAGUUACUUCAGAACCAAUAACCGCCGUAAAAUUUAUAGCGCGCAAAAAUAGCUAAGUGUGGAGCGUGGCGGAUCAGUGUUUAGUGCUUCGUGUUGAACCAUGGCUGCAGGGUUCCUGCUGACGACUACAGUAAACAAGGAUGUCUGGCGCUAAUAAAAGUCUAGUAACAAGCUAUUGUCUGAGUUACGUUCGUUACGCACAACAUACCUGUCGAUGAAGCCGGAUAAAAAUAACUAGACGAGCGUCCGUAGAGUAUUUCUGGACAACGCCUCCUCCUCUCGGCACUACACCUCGUUCUAAUGAUGGAUUUCGUGUUCAGUCGGAAAAGUUCGGCCUUCACUUUGACCGACAACAUUCGGACAAUUUGUACGUACAUUCUCAGAGGGGCGCGUCGCCGCGGCUACCAAGAACAUCGCUUGAGUUUUUUCGACAUCCUCCAAUCGACGUGUUAACUUGUCGAGUGGAGGAGAUGGAGAAAAAAUGUAGAGUCGAGCUGCAUGUGCGGGUUGAAUUUUGAUCGGACGGGAGCAGGCAUGCGUGGCGGGCGGUGCCGAACAUAAAGGGGACACCAGUGUGCGGCGCAUUCGCAAUGCGUUCUCAGAAGCGACGCGUCGCACGCCGGUGCUUAGCAUAAUAGAUAAACUAGACAUUAUUCACUACUGCCUUACAGCAUAAUGUUAGAAACCAAAUUCAUGUAAUAGGCGUACUGAUUAAACCCAUUAAUUCCA
This is a long non-coding RNA of Trichoplusia ni (cabbage looper), 1313 nucleotides long. RefSeq lists it as uncharacterized. Lineage: Eukaryota; Metazoa; Arthropoda; Insecta; Lepidoptera; Noctuidae. The transcript has 2 exons. The record is from RefSeq and is a predicted model, not a curated record.